RNAcentral lists this ribosomal RNA (1509 nucleotides) under Helicobacter pylori. RNAcentral's name for it is "bacterial SSU rRNA". It matches the Rfam family "Bacterial small subunit ribosomal RNA". Lineage: Bacteria; Pseudomonadati; Campylobacterota; Epsilonproteobacteria; Campylobacterales; Helicobacteraceae. The record is from RNAcentral.
UUUAUGGAGAGUUUGAUCCUGGCUCAGAGUGAACGCUGGCGGCGUGCCUAAUACAUGCAAGUCGAACGAUGAAGCUUCUAGCUUGCUAGAGUGCUGAUUAGUGGCGCACGGGUGAGUAACGCAUAGGUCAUGUGCCUCUUAGUUUGGGAUAGCCAUUGGAAACGAUGAUUAAUACCAGAUACUCCCUACGGGGGAAAGAUUUAUCGCUAAGAGAUCAGCCUAUGUCCUAUCAGCUUGUUGGUAAGGUAAUGGCUUACCAAGGCUAUGACGGGUAUCCGGCCUGAGAGGGUGAACGGACACACUGGAACUGAGACACGGUCCAGACUCCUACGGGAGGCAGCAGUAGGGAAUAUUGCUCAAUGGGGGAAACCCUGAAGCAGCAACGCCGCGUGGAGGAUGAAGGUUUUAGGAUUGUAAACUCCUUUUGUUAGAGAAGAUAAUGACGGUAUCUAACGAAUAAGCACCGGCUAACUCCGUGCCAGCAGCCGCGGUAAUACGGAGGGUGCAAGCGUUACUCGGAAUCACUGGGCGUAAAGAGCGCGUAGGCGGGAUAGUCAGUCAGGUGUGAAAUCCUAUGGCUUAACCAUAGAACUGCAUUUGAAACUACUAUUCUAGAGUGUGGGAGAGGUAGGUGGAAUUCUUGGUGUAGGGGUAAAAUCCGUAGAGAUCAAGAGGAAUACUCAUUGCGAAGGCGACCUGCUGGAACAUUACUGACGCUGAUUGCGCGAAAGCGUGGGGAGCAAACAGGAUUAGAUACCCUGGUAGUCCACGCCCUAAACGAUGGAUGCUAGUUGUUGGAGGGCUUAGUCUCUCCAGUAAUGCAGCUAACGCAUUAAGCAUCCCGCCUGGGGAGUACGGUCGCAAGAUUAAAACUCAAAGGAAUAGACGGGGACCCGUACAAGCGGUGGAGCAUGUGGUUUAAUUCGAAGAUACACGAAGAACCUUACCUAGGCUUGACAUUGAGAGAAUCCGCUAGAAAUAGUGGAGUGUCUGGCUUGCUAGACCUUGAAAACAGGUGCUGCACGGCUGUCGUCAGCUCGUGUCGUGAGAUGUUGGGUUAAGUCCCGCAACGAGCGCAACCCCCUUUCUUAGUUGCUAACAGGUCAUGCUGAGAACUCUAAGGAUACUGCCUCCGUAAGGAGGAGGAAGGUGGGGACGACGUCAAGUCAUCAUGGCCCUUACGCCUAGGGCUACACACGUGCUACAAUGGGGUGCACAAAGAGAAGCAAUACUGCGAAGUGGAGCCAAUCUUCAAAACGCCUCUCAGUUCGGAUUGUAGGCUGCAACUCGCCUGCAUGAAGCUGGAAUCGCUAGUAAUCGCAAAUCAGCCAUGUUGCGGUGAAUACGUUCCCGGGUCUUGUACUCACCGCCCGUCACACCAUGGGAGUUGUGUUUGCCUUAAGUCAGGAUGCUAAAUUGGCUACUGCCCACGGCACACACAGCGACUGGGGUGAAGUCGUAACAAGGUAACCGUAGGUGAACCUGCGGUUGGAUCACCUCCUUUCUAGA